GACAGAGGAUGCAAGCGUUGUCCGGAAUUAUUGGGCGUAAAGAGCUCGUAGGCGGUCUGUUGCGUCUGCUGUGAAAACCCGGGGCUUAACCCCUGGCUUGCAGUGGAUACGGACAGACUAGAGGUAGGUAGGGGAGAAUGGAAUUCCCGGUGUAGCGGUGAAAUGCGCAGAUAUCGGGAGGAACACCGGUGGCGAAGGCGGUUCUCUGGGCCUUACCUGACGCUGAGGAGCGAAAGCGUGGGGAGCGAACAGG
This 253-nucleotide ribosomal RNA is filed under the name uncultured bacterium. RNAcentral's name for it is "partial 16S ribosomal RNA". It matches the Rfam family "Bacterial small subunit ribosomal RNA", at positions 524 to 776 of the family's 1533-position model. The record is from RNAcentral.